UACUGGUUUUGCCAGCUGAUAGUGUUGUCC
RNAcentral lists this non-coding RNA (30 nucleotides) under Mus musculus (house mouse). Lineage: Eukaryota; Metazoa; Chordata; Mammalia; Rodentia; Muridae. The record is from RNAcentral.